Molecule: ribosomal RNA, 468 nt
Filed under: uncultured bacterium
Lineage: Bacteria
Description: partial 16S ribosomal RNA
Rfam family: Bacterial small subunit ribosomal RNA
Source: RNAcentral
GACGAACGCUGGCGGCGUGCUUAACACAUGCAAGUCGAACGGAAAGGCCCUGCUUUUGUGGGGUGCUCGAGUGGCGAACGGGUGAGUAACACGUGAGUAACCUGCCCUUGACUUUGGGAUAACUUCAGGAAACUGGGGCUAAUACCGGAUAGGAGCUCCUGCUGCAUGGUGGGGGUUGGAAAGUUUCGGCGGUUGGGGAUGGACGCGCGGCUUCUCAGCCUGUUGGUGGGGGGGUGGCUUACCAAGGCUUUGGCGGGUAGCCGGCCUGGGGGGGUGACCGGCCACCAUGGGACUGAGAUACGGCGCAGACUCCUACGGGAGGCAGCAGUGGGGAAUAUUGCACAAUGGGCGGAAGCCUGAUGCAGCAACGCCGCGUGCGGGAUGACGGCCUUCGGGUUGUAAACCGCUUUCGCCUGUGACGAAGCGUGAGUGACGGUAAUGGGUAAAGAAGCACCGGCUAACUACGUG